GACUAACGUUGGCGGCGUGCAUAACACAUGCAAGUUGAGCGUGGCCUUAGUUUACUAAGGUCUAGCAGCGGACGGCUGAGUAAUGCACAGGAACGUACCCGGAAGUGGGGGAUAGCCCUUCGAAAGAAGGGGUAAUACCGCAUGUGAUCGCAAGAUCAAAGCCGCAAAGGCGCUACCGGAGCGGCCUGUGUCCUAUCAGGUUGUUGGUGGGGUAAAAGCCUACCAAGCCUAUGACGGGAACUGGUCUGAGAGGAUGACCAGUCAGAUCGGACUGAGACACGGCCCGAACUCCUACGGGAGGCAGCAGUUGGGAAUCUUGCACAAUGGACGAAAGUCUGAUGCAGCGACGCCGCGUGGGGAUGAAGGUUUUC
RNAcentral lists this ribosomal RNA (371 nucleotides) under uncultured bacterium. RNAcentral describes it as "bacterial SSU rRNA". It matches the Rfam family "Bacterial small subunit ribosomal RNA", at positions 28 to 419 of the family's 1533-position model. The record is from RNAcentral.